RNAcentral lists this ribosomal RNA (2900 nucleotides) under Shigella flexneri K-1770. RNAcentral describes it as "bacterial LSU rRNA". It matches the Rfam family "Bacterial large subunit ribosomal RNA". The record is from RNAcentral. Lineage: Bacteria; Pseudomonadati; Pseudomonadota; Gammaproteobacteria; Enterobacterales; Enterobacteriaceae.
UAAGCGACUAAGCGUACACGGUGGAUGCCCUGGCAGUCAGAGGCGAUGAAGGACGUGCUAAUCUGCGAUAAGCGUCGGUAAGGUGAUAUGAACCGUUAUAACCGGCGAUUUCCGAAUGGGGAAACCCAGUGUGAUUCGUCACACUAUCAUUAACUGAAUCCAUAGGUUAAUGAGGCGAACCGGGGGAACUGAAACAUCUAAGUACCCCGAGGAAAAGAAAUCAACCGAGAUUCCCCCAGUAGCGGCGAGCGAACGGGGAGCAGCCCAGAGCCUGAAUCAGUGUGUGUGUUAGUGGAAGCGUCUGGAAAGGCGUGCGAUACAGGGUGACAGCCCCGUACACAAAAAUGCACAUACUGUGAGCUCGAUGAGUAGGGCGGGACACGUGGUAUCCUGUCUGAAUAUGGGGGGACCAUCCUCCAAGGCUAAAUACUCCUGACUGACCGAUAGUGAACCAGUACCGUGAGGGAAAGGCGAAAAGAACCCCGGCGAGGGGAGUGAAAAAGAACCUGAAACCGUGUACGUACAAGCAGUGGGAGCACGCUUAGGCGUGUGACUGCGUACCUUUUGUAUAAUGGGUCAGCGACUUAUAUUCUGUAGCAAGGUUAACCGAAUAGGGGAGCCGAAGGGAAACCGAGUCUUAACUGGGCGUUAAGUUGCAGGGUAUAGACCCGAAACCCGGUGAUCUAGCCAUGGGCAGGUUGAAGGUUGGGUAACACUAACUGGAGGACCGAACCGACUAAUGUUGAAAAAUUAGCGGAUGACUUGUGGCUGGGGGUGAAAGGCCAAUCAAACCGGGAGAUAGCUGGUUCUCCCCGAAAGCUAUUUAGGUAGCGCCUCGUGAAUUCAUCUCCGGGGGUAGAGCACUGUUUCGGCAAGGGGGUCAUCCCGACUUACCAACCCGAUGCAAACUGCGAAUACCGGAGAAUGUUAUCACGGGAGACACACGGCGGGUGCUAACGUCCGUCGUGAAGAGGGAAACAACCCAGACCGCCAGCUAAGGUCCCAAAGUCAUGGUUAAGUGGGAAACGAUGUGGGAAGGCCCAGACAGCCAGGAUGUUGGCUUAGAAGCAGCCAUCAUUUAAAGAAAGCGUAAUAGCUCACUGGUCGAGUCGGCCUGCGCGGAAGAUGUAACGGGGCUAAACCAUGCACCGAAGCUGCGGCAGCGACGCUUAUGCGUUGUUGGGUAGGGGAGCGUUCUGUAAGCCUGUGAAGGUGUACUGUGAGGUAUGCUGGAGGUAUCAGAAGUGCGAAUGCUGACAUAAGUAACGAUAAAGCGGGUGAAAAGCCCGCUCGCCGGAAGACCAAGGGUUCCUGUCCAACGUUAAUCGGGGCAGGGUGAGUCGACCCCUAAGGCGAGGCCGAAAGGCGUAGUCGAUGGGAAACAGGUUAAUAUUCCUGUACUUGGUGUUACUGCGAAGGGGGGACGGAGAAGGCUAUGUUGGCCGGGCGACGGUUGUCCCGGUUUAAGCGUGUAGGCUGGUUUUCCAGGCAAAUCCGGAAAAUCAAGGCCGAGGCGUGAUGACGAGGCACUACGGUGCUGAAGCAACAAAUGCCCUGCUUCCAGGAAAAGCCUCUAAGCAUCAGGUAACAUCAAAUCGUACCCCAAACCGACACAGGUGGUCAGGUAGAGAAUACCAAGGCGCUUGAGAGAACUCGGGUGAAGGAACUAGGCAAAAUGGUGCCGUAACUUCGGGAGAAGGCACGCUGAUACGUAGGUGAAGCGACUUGCUCGUGGAGCUGAAAUCAGUCGAAGAUACCAGCUGGCUGCAACUGUUUAUUAAAAACACAGCACUGUGCAAACACGAAAGUGGACGUAUACGGUGUGACGCCUGCCCGGUGCCGGAAGGUUAAUUGAUGGGGUUAGCGCAAGCGAAGCUCUUGAUCGAAGCCCCGGUAAACGGCGGCCGUAACUAUAACGGUCCUAAGGUAGCGAAAUUCCUUGUCGGGUAAGUUCCGACCUGCACGAAUGGCGUAAUGAUGGCCAGGCUGUCUCCACCCGAGACUCAGUGAAAUUGAACUCGCUGUGAAGAUGCAGUGUACCCGCGGCAAGACGGAAAGACCCCGUGAACCUUUACUAUAGCUUGACACUGAACAUUGAGCCUUGAUGUGUAGGAUAGGUGGGAGGCUUUGAAGUGUGGACGCCAGUCUGCAUGGAGCCGACCUUGAAAUACCACCCUUUAAUGUUUGAUGUUCUAACGUGGACCCGUGAUCCGGGUUGCGGACAGUGUCUGGUGGGUAGUUUGACUGGGGCGGUCUCCUCCUAAAGAGUAACGGAGGAGCACGAAGGUUGGCUAAUCCUGGUCGGACAUCAGGAGGUUAGUGCAAUGGCAUAAGCCAGCUUGACUGCGAGCGUGACGGCGCGAGCAGGUGCGAAAGCAGGUCAUAGUGAUCCGGUGGUUCUGAAUGGAAGGGCCAUCGCUCAACGGAUAAAAGGUACUCCGGGGAUAACAGGCUGAUACCGCCCAAGAGUUCAUAUCGACGGCGGUGUUUGGCACCUCGAUGUCGGCUCAUCACAUCCUGGGGCUGAAGUAGGUCCCAAGGGUAUGGCUGUUCGCCAUUUAAAGUGGUACGCGAGCUGGGUUUAGAACGUCGUGAGACAGUUCGGUCCCUAUCUGCCGUGGGCGCUGGAGAACUGAGGGGGGCUGCUCCUAGUACGAGAGGACCGGAGUGGACGCAUCACUGGUGUUCGGGUUGUCAUGCCAAUGGCACUGCCCGGUAGCUAAAUGCGGAAGAGAUAAGUGCUGAAAGCAUCUAAGCACGAAACUUGCCCCGAGAUGAGUUCUCCCUGACCCUUUAAGGGUCCUGAAGGAACGUUGAAGACGACGACGUUGAUAGGCCGGGUGUGUAAGCGCAGCGAUGCGUUGAGCUAACCGGUACUAAUGAACCGUGAGGCUUAACCU